AAUAGAUACCCGGGUAGUCCAUGCCGUAAACGGUGGGCGCUAGGUGUGGGGGUCUUCCACGACUUCUGUGCCGUAGCUAACGCAUUAAGCGCCCCGCCUGGGGAGUACGGCCGCAAGGCUAAAACUCAAAGGAAUUGACGGGGGCCCGCACAAGCGGCGGAGCAUGUGGAUUAAUUCGAUGCAACGCGAAGAACCUUACCUGGGCUUGACACACGCCGGAUCGCCGCAGAGAUGUGGUUUCCCUUGUGGCCGGUGUACAGGUGGUGCAUGGUUGUCGUCAGCUCGUGUCGUGAGAUGUUGGGUUAAGUCCCGCAACGAGCGCAACCCUUGUCUUGUGUUGCCAGCACGUUAUGGUGGGGACUCGCGAGAGACUGCCGGGGUUAACUCGGAGGAAGGUGGGGAUGACGUCAAAUCAUCAUGCCCCUUAUGUCCAGGGCUUCACACAUGCUACAAUGGUCGGUACAGUGGGUUGCGAUGCCGUGAGGUGGAGCUAAUCCCUUAAAGCCGGUCUCAGUUCGGAUUGGAGU
Molecule: ribosomal RNA, 527 nt
Filed under: uncultured bacterium
Lineage: Bacteria
Description: bacterial SSU rRNA
Rfam family: Bacterial small subunit ribosomal RNA
Source: RNAcentral